Molecule: ribosomal RNA, 159 nt
Filed under: uncultured Chryseobacterium sp.
Lineage: Bacteria; Pseudomonadati; Bacteroidota; Flavobacteriia; Flavobacteriales; Weeksellaceae
Description: partial 16S ribosomal RNA
Rfam family: Bacterial small subunit ribosomal RNA
Source: RNAcentral
AGGGGUAGCGACUGAUCCAGCCAUCCCGCGUGUAGGACGACGGCCCUAUGGGUUGUAAACUUCUUUUGUACAGGGAUAAACCUUUCUGCUCCCUCAGCGGUGCAGAAGGUACUGUACAAAUAAACACCGGCUAACUCCGUGCCAGCAGCCGCGGAUAUA